GGGAGACACACGGCGGGUGCUAACGUCCGUCGUGGAGAGGGAAACAACCCUGACCAACAGCUAAGGCCCCCAAUUCGUGGCUAAGUGGGAAAGGAUGUGGGAAUCCCAAAACAACCAGGAGGUUGGCUUAGAAGCAGCCAUCCUUUAAAGAAAGCGUAAUAGCUCACUGAUCGAGUCGUCCUGCGCGGAAGAUGUAACGGGGCUAAGCCAGUUACCGAAGCUGCGGAUGUGCAAUUUAUUGCACGUGGUAGGAGAGCGUUCUGUAAGCCUGCGAAGGUGUCUUGUAAAGGAUGCUGGAGGUAUCAGAAGUGCGAAUGCUGACAUGAGUAGCGAUAAUGCGGGUGAAAAGCCCGCACGCCGUAAGCCCAAGGUUUCCUGUUCAACGUUCAUCGGAGCAGGGUGAGUCGGCCCCUAAGGCGAGGCAGAGAUGCGUAGCUGAUGGGAAGCAGGUUAAUAUUCCUGCACCGUCGUAUGAUGCGAUGGGGGGACGGAUCGCGGAAGGUUGUCUGACUGUUGGAAUAGUCAGUUUCUGGUUCAUAGAAGGCGCUUAGGCAAAUCCGGGCGCGUAAUUCAAGGGAUCGGGACGAGCGGCUUUAUGCUGCGAAGCAAUCGGAAGUGGUUCCAAGAAAAGCCUCUAAGCUUCAGUCAUACGAGACCGUACCGCAAACCGACACAGGUGGGCGAGAUGAGUAUUCUAAGGCGCUUGAGAGAACUCGGGAGAAGGAACUCGGCAAAUUGGUACCGUAACUUCGGGAAAAGGUACGCCCCGGUAGCUUGACUGCUUUGCUGCAGAAGGGUGAAAGGGUUGCAAUAAAAUGGUGGCUGCGACUGUUUAAUAAAAACACAGCACUCUGCAAACACGAAAGUGGACGUAUAGGGUGUGACGCCUGCCCGGUGCUGGAAGAUUAAAUGAUGGGGUGCAAGCUCUUGAUUGAAGUCCCAGUAAACGGCGGCCGUAACGAUAACGGUCCUAAGGUAGCG
Molecule: ribosomal RNA, 981 nt
Filed under: Conticribra weissflogii
Lineage: Eukaryota; Bacillariophyta; Thalassiosirophyceae; Thalassiosirales; Thalassiosiraceae
Description: partial Bacterial large subunit ribosomal RNA
Rfam family: Bacterial large subunit ribosomal RNA
Source: RNAcentral